GGAAGGAUUGAUGGGAAAGGUGUUAUGGAGAGGAAGUGGAAACAAAACAGAACUAUUAGAAUUGAAGAGGGCAAAAGUAUAUAUGACAUCUUUGAGACUAAAGGAGGAGAGGAUGAGACUUGUCUUUGACCAUUUUGCAAUAAGUACGGAAAAGAGUGGAUGGGUUAGAAAUAAAGAAUGGCUAGAAAGAGUAACUAAUGCAAGAGGGAGAGA
Molecule: long non-coding RNA, 213 nt
Filed under: Elaeis guineensis (African oil palm)
Lineage: Eukaryota; Viridiplantae; Streptophyta; Magnoliopsida; Arecales; Arecaceae
Description: long non-coding RNA (EGUI_LNC007990)
Source: RNAcentral